This 258-nucleotide ribosomal RNA is filed under the name Pacispora scintillans. The record is from RNAcentral. Lineage: Eukaryota; Fungi; Glomeromycota; Glomeromycetes; Diversisporales; Pacisporaceae.
CAGUCGCGUUCUCUGGGAUUCAGCCUUGCUUCUUGCUUGGUGCAUUUCCUAGUCUACGGGCCAGCAUGAAUCUUGAGCGGUGGAAAAGGGUUUGGGGAAAUGUGGCACCUCCGGGUGUGUUAUAGCCCCUUGCUGUAUACACUGGUUGGGAUUGAGGUUUUCAGUGCACGCUUCGGUUGUGCUUUGAUGCUGGCUAAUGGCUUUAAGCGACCCGUCUUGAAACACGGACCAAAGGGUCUAACAUAUAUGCGAGUGUUU